ACGAUUGACGGAGCGAAGCGACGUCAAAGCGUUCAUUAAAGUCGAGUUGGCUUAGGGAUACGUUCGUUGGGUAGGGGAGCGUUCUGUAAGCCUGUGAAGGUGGCCUGUGAGGGUUGCUGGAGGUAUCAGAAGUGCGAAUGCUGACAUAAGUAACGAUAAAGCGGGUGAAAAGCCCGCUCGCCGGAAGACCAAGGGUUCCUGUCCAACGUUAAUCGGGGCAGGGUGAGUCGACCCCUAAGGCGAGGCCGAAAGGCGUAGUCGAUGGGAAACGGGUUAAUAUUCCCGUACUUGGUGUUACUGCGAAGGGGGGACGGAGAAGGCUAUGUUGGCCGGGCGACGGUUGUCCCGGUUUAAGCGUGUAGGUGUGUGUUCCAGGUAAAUCCGGUUCACUUUAACACUGAGGCGUGACGACGAGGCACUACGGUGCUGAAGCAACAAAUGCCCUGCUUCCAGGAAAAGCCUCUAAGCAUCAGGUAACAUCAAAUCGUACCCCAAACCGACACAGGUGGUCAGGUAGAGAAUACCAAGGCGCUUGAGAGAACUCGGGUGAAGGAACUAGGCAAAAUGGUGCCGUAACUUCGGGAGAAGGCACGCUGACACGUAGGUGAAGUGAUUUACUCAUGGAGCUGAAGUCAGUCGAAGAUACCAGCUGGCUGCAACUGUUUAUUAAAAACACAGCACUGUGCAAACACGAAAGUGGACGUAUACGGU
This 711-nucleotide ribosomal RNA is filed under the name Salmonella enterica subsp. enterica serovar Muenchen. Its description in RNAcentral is "partial 23S ribosomal RNA". It matches the Rfam family "Bacterial large subunit ribosomal RNA", at positions 1182 to 1851 of the family's 2925-position model. Lineage: Bacteria; Pseudomonadati; Pseudomonadota; Gammaproteobacteria; Enterobacterales; Enterobacteriaceae. The record is from RNAcentral.